CUGGCGGUGGGAAAUGUGCCCCUCUGGGGAGGGAGGACUGGGCGGGAAAGGCAAAGCCCCUCAUCGCACUCUGGGCAGCGGUUCUCAACCCCUCACAAAGUCAAGCACCACCGAGGUCGUAGCCGUGAACUUCAGGGCCCUGGAAAUGAACGCGGGCAUGUUUCAAGCAAGAGCACCCAGCACAGUUGUCACACAGCGCGUGGUUCGGAGAAGCCUCUGUACCCGGGCGAACAGGCGGGACAAAGUCAAGGCGCUGGAAUUACUGUGAAAACAAUUUUGACCUUGAAGGCCUUCUGAAGGUUUCUGCGACCCCGGGGUGCCUGCACGGAGCUUAGGGGACCUCGAUCUGGGCAGGGCGGGCGGCCAGGGUGCAGGUUCCCACCCCGGCUCCACCCGCUGCGCGACAGGCAGGUGGUGGGUGGCGGAGCCGCUGCGGUCAGGUGCUCGCAGGCGCAGGCGCUGCGCGGCGGCCUCCUCGGCUGCCACCCUGCCGCUGUCCAGCUCCAGGCGCUGAGGCGGCCCGGGUUGGUCCAGGGACCCGCCGUCCUUACGGGGUGCCGUGGCGGGUCUCCUCCUGGGUGCCUACAGUGACUCCGAGUGGGGCUGUGAGUGGGUCAGAUGGCAGGCCUGCCCCUGCUGUGUGCACCCAGCUCCGCGUGCCUGUGUGAGUGUGGCCUUGGUGUGGAAGUGGGCACGUCCGCCUGUGGCCGUGUGGGGUGUGGGGAGGACGUGGUGGGGUGUCCCGGAGCCCUAGGGAGGGGGUCGUGUGCGUGUGUGUGUAUACGUGUGCCCCUUGAGCCCGCUUGUGCCUGCAUGUGUGUGUGCGGGCAUGUGUGUGUGUGUGUGCGUGCGUGUGUGUGCAUGGGUGCAUGAGCUCUGCCUGCGCUGCUGGCUGGCUGCCUGGAGUCAGGACUGAGCCACUGGGAAACCCGUGGGCGGCUGGAUGCAGGCGGCUCUGGGCAGCUUUCUUGGCCAGUCCUGCAGCCGCCCGAGGCCCUGCUGGGCGGGUCGGGGUGGAAAGGAGUCUGGAGUCCGCAGAAGCCUCCUCCUUUCCUGGCUUCACCUGCUCCUCCUGGUGUCUCUCCGUGGAGUCGGCGGGGAGGAGCCGCGGAAGCCGGGGCAGCCGUGACUGCACCAGGAAGAACAGCUCAGGCGUGGGCACGUGGGCUGUGAGCCCAGCCGAGAUCGCUGCCAGCACAGAGGUCCAAUCCACCCCGCGUCAGGGCCUGGACCAUGGGCCUGAGGUGUGGGUGGGGGAGAUGCCAAGACCAGAAGGAGGCUGA
Molecule: long non-coding RNA, 1283 nt
Filed under: Sus scrofa (pig)
Lineage: Eukaryota; Metazoa; Chordata; Mammalia; Artiodactyla; Suidae
Description: lncRNA (ENSSSCG00070003178.1)
Source: RNAcentral